AUUCCAGCUCCAAUAGCGUAUAUUAAAGUUGUUGCAGUUAAAAAGCUCGUAGUUGGAGUUCAGAGUGAGCUCAGCCGGUCCGCCUCAUGGGUGAGUACUGGUCGACUCUCUCUUGUUUGUGAAUCCCGCCCGGAGUUAAUUCUUCGGGAUGUGGAGUUCACAUCGUUUACCUUGAAAAAAUUAGAGUGUUCAAAGCAGGCGUUUGCUUGAAUAUAUUAGCAUGGAAUAAUGGAAUAGGACCCUGGUUCUAUUUUGUUGGUUUUGAGGACCAGAGUAAUGAUUAAUAGGGAUAGUUGGGGGCAUUCAUAUUUCAUUGUCAGAGGUGAAAUUCUUGGAUUUAUGAAAGAUGAACUUCUGCGAAAGCAUUUGCCAAGGAUGUUUUCAUCA
RNAcentral lists this ribosomal RNA (387 nucleotides) under Telonemia sp. RNAcentral describes it as "partial small subunit ribosomal RNA". It matches the Rfam family "Eukaryotic small subunit ribosomal RNA", at positions 582 to 975 of the family's 1831-position model. Lineage: Eukaryota; Telonemia. The record is from RNAcentral.